Molecule: non-coding RNA, 72 nt
Organism: Bos taurus (domestic cattle)
Lineage: Eukaryota; Metazoa; Chordata; Mammalia; Artiodactyla; Bovidae
Source: Rfam
UCCCUGGUGGCUCAGACGGUAAAGAAUCUGCCUGCAAUGCAGGAGAACCAGGUUUGAUUCCUGGGUUGGGAA